AGCAUAUCAAUAAGCGGAGGAAAAGAAACCAACAGGGAUUGCCCUAGUAACGGCGAGUGAAGCGGCAACAGCUCAAAUUUGAAAUCUGGCGCAAGCCCGAGUUGUAAUUUGUAGAGGAUGCUUCUGGGCAGCGGCCGGUCUAAGUUCCUUGGAACAGGACGUCAUAGAGGGUGAGAAUCCCGUAUGUGACCGGUUGGCACCCUCCACGUAGCUCCUUCGACGAGUCGAGUUGUUUGGGAAUGCAGCUCUAAAUGGGAGGUAAAUUUCUUCUAAAGCUAAAUACCGGCCAGAGACCGAUAGCGCACAAGUAGAGUGAUCGAAAGAUGAAAAGCACUUUGGAAAGAGAGUUAAAAAGCACGUGAAAUUGUUGAAAGGGAAGCGCUUGCAACCAGACUUGUCGGCGGUGUUCCGCCGGUCUUCUGACCGGUCUACUCGCCGCCGCCAGGCCAGCAUCGUCUGGGGCCGCCGGACAAAGGCGUCGGGAAUGUAGCUCCCUCGGGAGUGUUAUAGCCCGUCGCACAAUACGGCGCGCCCCGGGCGAGGUCCGCGCUUCGGCUUGGAUGCUGGCGUAAUGGUCGCAAGCGGCCCGUCUUGAAACACGGACCAAGGAGUCUAACAUCUAUGCGAGUGUUCGGGUGGCAAACCCCUACGCGCAAUGAAAGUGAACGGAGGCGGGAACUUUUGUGCACCGUCGACCGAUCCUGAUGUCCUCGGAUGGAUUUGAGUAAGAGCAUAGCUGUUGGGACCCGAAAGAUGGUGAACUAUGCCUGAAUAGGGUGAAGCCAGAGGAAACUCUGGUGGAGGCUCGCAGCGGUUCUGACGUGCAAAUCGAUCGUCAAAUUUGGGUAUAGGGGCGAAAGACUAAUCGAACCAUCUAGUAGCUGGUUCCUGCC
RNAcentral lists this ribosomal RNA (893 nucleotides) under Penidiella carpentariae. Its description in RNAcentral is "eukaryotic LSU rRNA". It matches the Rfam family "Eukaryotic large subunit ribosomal RNA", at positions 37 to 962 of the family's 3401-position model. The record is from RNAcentral. Lineage: Eukaryota; Fungi; Ascomycota; Dothideomycetes; Mycosphaerellales; Teratosphaeriaceae.